RNAcentral lists this long non-coding RNA (872 nucleotides) under Capsicum annuum. Its description in RNAcentral is "long non-coding RNA (CANN_LNC016386)". Lineage: Eukaryota; Viridiplantae; Streptophyta; Magnoliopsida; Solanales; Solanaceae. The record is from RNAcentral.
UGGUGGCUAAAAUGGCAUUAUUUGUAUCCUCAUCUCUGUGGUAGUCAUAUUUCGCUGGCCCUUUUGUCAAUUAGUAAAAAAAUGUUUUUAACUUUUGAGGAAGUUAAAUUAAGUAAUCAACAUCGAAUAUGCCAAUCUGUUUAUGGCCUCAAUCUCCAAGGGCAUGGUUUGGCUGUUCUAGCUCAUAUUUCAAAAUGAUGCUAAUCAUUAAGUCUUCUACAAUAUUCUUCUUCUUUCUUUCUUUCUUUCUUUCUUUCUUUCUUUCUUUCUUUCUUUCUUUCUUUCUUUCUUUCUUUCUUUUGAUAAUCGAAAAAUCUACAAGGGCCAUUAUGCACAGUUUGAAACUUGAUGGUUAAUGGGCCCACCACUUUAUCCUUCUCCACUUAAAUACCAAGAUUUUCUUUAUGGUAGGGUUCAAACUCGUGAUGUGCACUUAAUCCAUAUAUCACAAAUUGUGCUCUUACCACUAAAUCAAAGCUCAGAAUUUCCUAGUCGCUUGUGUUCAUGGAACUAUCAUUACAUGUGAUGAUCAUAAAGGGUUGAUCAAUUAAAAGAUGUUUAUAACUUUUGAGGAAGUUAAAUUAAGUAAUCAACAUCGAAUGUGCCAAUCUGUUUAUGGCCUCAAUCUCCACGGGCAUGGUUUGGCUGUUCUAGCUCAUAUUUCAAAAUGAAGCAAAUCAUCAAGUCUUCUACAACAUUUUUCUUCUUUCGUUCUUUCUUUCUUUCUUUUGAUAACAGAAAAAUCUCCAAGAGCCAUUAUGCACCGUCCGAAACUCGAUGGUUAAUGGGCCCGCCACUUUAUCCUUCUCCACUUAAAUACCAAGAUUUUCUUUAUGGUAGGGUGCGAACUCGUGACGUGCACCUAAUCCACA